UACGUAGGGUCCGAGCGUUGUCCGGAAUUACUGGGCGUAAAGAGCUCGUAGGUGGUUUGUCGCGUUGUUCGUGAAAACUCACAGCUUAACUGUGGGCGUGCGGGCGAUACGGGCAGACUUGAGUACUGCAGGGGAGACUGGAAUUCCUGGUGUAGCGGUGGAAUGCGCAGAUAUCAGGAGGAACACCGGUGGCGAAGGCGGGUCUCUGGGCCGUUACUGACGCUGAGGAGCGAAAGCGUGGGUAGCAAACAGG
RNAcentral lists this ribosomal RNA (253 nucleotides) under uncultured bacterium. RNAcentral's name for it is "partial 16S ribosomal RNA". It matches the Rfam family "Bacterial small subunit ribosomal RNA", at positions 524 to 776 of the family's 1533-position model. The record is from RNAcentral.